This 1244-nucleotide long non-coding RNA is filed under the name Homo sapiens (human). RNAcentral describes it as "long non-coding RNA NONHSAT202371.1". The record is from RNAcentral. Lineage: Eukaryota; Metazoa; Chordata; Mammalia; Primates; Hominidae.
AAGGCGCUGCGUCCUGGCGGCUCUGCGGGGGUUUCGUCGAGGCCCAGCAGGCUUGGGUCGGGAGACCCGGGUGCCGGCGGGGGCCGGGCUGGGAGACGCCACGGCCGCCAUCAGUCACCGAGGUGGGGUGGGAAAGAGAGGUUCGCUGCGGCUUCAAGGUCUGAGCACAGCCAGUGGGCAGCCACAGCAGAGGCCUCCGGUGUCUGCAGGGCAGAGGGCUCGGCCUGUCCCGAGGCCCCCCAGUUCAUCCGCCGGCCCGGGGCCAGAGGGCCCUGAAGGCGCGGGCUGCGUUCUGCGUCUCUCCGCGAUCUCUGCCGGACCGGAACUAAGACCAGACCAUUUUCUUCUGGAGGACAAUUAUGCUUUGUCUCAAGCACACUGCUAAAUCAGAAAUUUGUAUUGAUGAAAAAAAAAAGUUGUUCUUGGCCAAAAACAUCAAUCAGCCUCAUCUCCAGAGUGAUCCUCCAAACUCAGGGAGAAUUGGAGUGAAUGACAGUUCCUAUUUCUCAACAUCAUUGUCAGCAUUUGAUGCCGUCAGUGUCCUAGAUUUUGACCAUUAUAAUAGGCAUCCUCCUUAGCCACCUCUGAUGAGUGCAUUGAAGAGGAUGACCUGCUUGGUUAUUCUGCUUCCCGAAUACAAAAAAUUAGGCUUCUGAAAUCAAACAUAAGAAGUCAUUGUUGCUUUUAUUCCAGGGACUGGGUCUCGCUGUGUUUCCCAGGCAGGUCUCUAACUACUGGGCUCAAAUAUCUGUCUGCUGCAGCCUCCCAAAGUGAUGGGAUUAGAGGCAUUAGCCACCCCACCCAGCCUCAACCAAGGUUAAAUCUUAAUAAUGGCUUUUUUAUAAUUUUUAGACAAUAUACUUUUUAUAAUUUUCUGUUUCUAAUUUAUUUUUCUAACAAGAAUACAUUAACGUUAUAGUCUUGAAGUGCUCAUUAAAUUUUAUAAAAUAAAUGUUAUUAAGCAUAACUAAGACUGGCCUUCAAUCAACAGCCAAUGAAGAAGAGACCCUUAGUUCAACAUCCUGUAAGCCAUGGAAUCCUACAAAAGACUGCAUCAGGAGGCCUGAAACACACCAUAGAAAAUGAAGAGUGGCUGAGAUAAUGUGCAUAGACCAACCUGCAGAAGAUACAAAAACAGCCAAAUCCUGGCCUUGUCUGAGAUACCUAUGGAGACUCUGCCCAUAAGAACUCUGAGGCAUUUUUCCAACCUCAGCAGCUGUUACCAAAGACUCUGCAGGAGAGAA